AACGGCCCGGAAGUGCGGCCUUGUAGUCGGUCAGGAGGAAGCGGCCACGGCAGAGCCUGGUGCCUGAAGAGGAGUCGGAGGUGGGGUCGAAUGGGCAUCCCCCUGCCGCAGGGCGGGCGAGGAGGCUGGGGCGUGCCAGGGGAGGGGCACCUGCGCUCCGCUAGAAGCGCACGCUGAGAACGCGAGGGGGCGCUGCAGGACCGGGGGGAGAAGCCGCACCAGUGCGCCGUGUGCUGGCGAUCCUUCUCUCUACGCGACUACCUGCUCAAACACAUGGUCACGCACACCGGCGUGCGCGCCUUCCAGUGCGCCGUCUGCGCCAAGCGCUUCACGCAGAAGAGCUCGCUCAACGUGCACAUGCGCACUCACCGGCCCGAGCGCGCGCCCUGCCCCGCCUGCGGCAAGGUCUUCUCGCACCGCGCGCUGCUGGAGCGCCACCUGGCGGCGCACCCUGCGCCCUGAUGGCGCUGGGGCCUGGCCUCGCCCACGGUGGAUCCGGGGCCUCCCGCACAGUCGGCCACGCCCGCUGCGGGACCCGUGGUUCCCGCCACUAGACCACGCUCCCUCCUGAGCGCAGGUCCUCUCUCUCCCUUCACCCUUUCUCCAUACCAGGGCCUAAGUCCGCCUUACUCCUCUCCUCCAUGUACUUGAACCCUCCAGGUGGUGCCGGGCUGGGGCUGGGGCUGGUUAGACCACUUCUGAGAACUGGACUAUUUCCUGCGUAAACCGGGCGCUCAGGCGCUUGGACCCGGCCCAAGAUUUGACUCCGGUUCUCACCCCGCCCUCUCCUGGGGUGGUGGUGGGGGCUGGGGGGCCGCUUGCCUGCCCCAGGGUCAGGCUGGGCAAGGUCCCUAGCUCUCUACCCAAGCUGUUACUCCCUCAUGGGGCGCCUAAGGAGACUCAAGUGGACCCAUCAUAUAUGGGGGCUGGGCCUCGGGACUCUCGCUCUAAUAAAGGACUGUAGGCCAUGGGGCCUAAACCACG
RNAcentral lists this long non-coding RNA (984 nucleotides) under Homo sapiens (human). Its description in RNAcentral is "non-protein coding lnc-SLC27A5-1:2". Lineage: Eukaryota; Metazoa; Chordata; Mammalia; Primates; Hominidae. The record is from RNAcentral.